CCCUCCAACGAAACGUAGCCACCCACCAUCUAGUUUCAUCAGCCCACACUUCCAAACCCCACCAAGUAGUUUCCACAGCAACCCUCUGCUUUAUUGAUUCAUCCCUCAGUUGUUUUAAUGCAUUGACAUUAGAGGUCGACACUUACAUUUUUUACACUCAAAAAUGCAGGCCCGUUAUUUACUGUUUUAUCUUGGAGUUUUACUGCUUUAUGCGGUUGGACAUGAGUACAACAGCGAGGAAAAGGAAAAGUACCUAAAUGCUGUCAUGACAAGUGGACUUUUGAUGUACCCCUUUUGAAAACUUUAUAAUUAUUUCUGGCACAAUUUCUUAAAUUGUAACGUGUUUCUACUAAAUAAAAUGGUGAUUUAAUUUUUGA
This is a long non-coding RNA of Aethina tumida (small hive beetle), 377 nucleotides long. RefSeq lists it as uncharacterized. The transcript has 2 exons. The record is from RefSeq and is a predicted model, not a curated record. Lineage: Eukaryota; Metazoa; Arthropoda; Insecta; Coleoptera; Nitidulidae.